RNAcentral lists this ribosomal RNA (484 nucleotides) under uncultured bacterium. RNAcentral's name for it is "partial 16S ribosomal RNA". It matches the Rfam family "Bacterial small subunit ribosomal RNA", at positions 30 to 507 of the family's 1533-position model. The record is from RNAcentral.
AUUGAACGCUGGCGGCAGGCCUAACACAUGCAAGUCGAGCGGAUGAAGGGAGCUUGCUCCUGGAUUCAGCGGCGGACGGGUGAGUAAUGCCUAGGAAUCUGCCUGGUCGUGGGGGAUAACGUCCGGAAACGGGCGCUAAUACCGCAUACGACCUGAGGGCGAAAGUGGGGGAGCUUCGGACCUCACGCUAUCAGAUGAGGCUAGGUCGGAAUAGCUAGGUGGUGGCGUAAAGGCCUACCAAGGCGACGAUCCGUAACUGGUAUGAGAGCAUGGUCAGUCACACUGUCACUGAGACUCGUCACAGACUCCUACGGGAGGCAGCAGUGGGGACUCUUGCACGAUGGGCCAAAGGCUGAUCCAGUCCUGCCGCGUGUGUGCAGAAGGUCUUCGGAUUGUAAAGCGCUUUAAGUUGGGAGGUAGGAAAGUAAGUUUAUCCCUUGUUGUUUUGACGGUACCAACAGAAUAAGCUCCGGCUAACUUCGUG